Long non-coding RNA from Cervus elaphus (red deer), 670 nucleotides. RefSeq lists it as uncharacterized. NCBI's taxonomy places the organism in Eukaryota, Metazoa, Chordata, Mammalia, Artiodactyla, Cervidae. The transcript is spliced from 3 exons. The record is from RefSeq and is a predicted model, not a curated record.
UGAAGAGCCCAAAGGACUGUGUGACUCUUAUUAUAGGCCUGGCGAUGGGCUACCCACCUUGGGUCCAGGCUGGCCAAGUGUAUGCCUCCUCAGCUGUGGUGGGAGGAGUGUUUUAUACAGGGACCGGCCAGCUUAGUAACUUCCACCCUGAGGGAGCAUUUUAAAUGGGCUGUGCUGCCAGAUUCAGAAAUACUGAAGUUUCCCGCCAUCCACUCAGAUCCCUUUGCUUGAAACUUCCCAGGUUCGGGGAUUCAGCUGUGAUCAAAGCCACCCAGAUCCCUGUUUUCAAGGGGCUUACAGUAUGCCAGCCACGAACAAUCGAACAAUGUAAUGGAACAAGGUGGAGUGUGGUGUGAUGCGCCAGUAGAGUAUAGAGACACUGUAAGUGGCAUGAAAUAUGAUGGGCUCACCUGAAGACCUGGGACCAAAUCAGCCUGGAGAUGUGGGUUCAGAUCCUGGCGCUGCCACUUCAGACUGGGCAGAGGUAUUGAGCACCUCGUCAUGCCAGACACGUCUGAGCCCUGGGAAUUCAGCGACCAUCACAGUGGGCCCAGGCCCUGUUCUCACAGAUCUUCCUGGUUUUCACAGCAAUAUGGUCUGCAAUGAAGACUAUGCCAUGAAUAUGGAUUAUGACUCAAAAUUCUCUUCCCUGAUGUUUGUUUUUUUCUUA